CAUGCAAGUCGAGGGGAAACGACAUCGAAAGCUUGCUUUUGAUGGGCGUCGACCGGCGCACGGGUGAGUAACGCGUAUCCAACCUGCCCACCACUUGGGGAUAACCUUGCGAAAGUAAGACUAAUACCCAAUGACGUCUCUAGAAGACAUCUGAAGGAGAUUAAAGAUUUAUCGGUGACGGAUGGGGAUGCGUCUGAUUAGCUUGUUGGCGGGGUAACGGCCCACCAAGGCGACGAUCAGUAGGGGUUCUGAGAGGAAGGUCCCCCACAUUGGAACUGAGACACGGUCCAAACUCCUACGGGAGGCAGCAGUGAGGAAUAUUGGUCAAUGGACGAGAGUCUGAACCAGCCAAGUAGCGUGCAGGAUGACGGCCCUAUGGGUUGUAAACUGCUUUUAUAAGGGAAUAAAGUGAGAGUCGUGACUCUUUUUGCAUGUACCUUAUGAAUAAGGACCGGCUAAUUCCGUGCCAGCAGCCGCGGUAAUACGGAAGGUCCGGGCGUUAUCCGGAUUUAUUGGGUUUAAAGGGAGCGUAGGCCGGAGAUUAAGCGUGUUGUGAAAUGUAGAUGCUCAACAUCUGAACUGCAGCGCGAACUGGUUUCCUUGAGUACGCACAAAGUGGGCGGAAUUCGUGGUGUAGCGGUGAAAUGCUUAGAUAUCACGAAGAACUCCGAUUGCGAAGGCAGCUCACUGGAGCGCAACUGACGCUGAAGCUCGAAAGUGCGGGUAUCGAACAGGAUUAGAUACCCUGGUAGUCCGCACGGUAAACGAUGGAUGCCCGCUGUUGGUCUGAAUAGGUCAGCGGCCAAGCGAAAGCAUUAAGCAUCCCACCUGGGGAGUACGCCGGCAACGGUGAAACUCUAAGGAAUUGACGGGG
This 874-nucleotide ribosomal RNA is filed under the name uncultured bacterium. RNAcentral's name for it is "bacterial SSU rRNA". It matches the Rfam family "Bacterial small subunit ribosomal RNA", at positions 54 to 918 of the family's 1533-position model. The record is from RNAcentral.